CCUACGGGAGGCAGCAGUGGGGGAUAUUGCACAAUGGGGGAAACCCUGAUGCAGCGACGCCGCGUGGGUGAAGGAGGUCUUCGGAUUGUAAAGCUCUUUCGGUAGGGAAGAAGAUGACGGUACCCAACAAAGAAUCCCCGGCUAACUACGUGCCAGCAGCCGCGGUAAUACGUAGGGGGCGAGCGUUAUCCGGAUUUACUGGGUGUAACGGGAGCGCAGGCGGGCGAGCAAGCAGGAUGUGAAAGCCCGGGGCCUAACCCGGGGAUGGCUCUGGGAACUGCUUGGCUGGAGUACGGAGGGGGCAGGCGGAAUUCCAGGUGUAGCGGGGAAAUGCGUAGAUAUUGGGAGGAACACCGGUGGCGAAGGCGGCCUGCUGGACUGUGACUGACGUGGAGGCCCGAAGGCGUGGGGAGCAAACAGGAUUAGAUACCCGGGUAGUC
Molecule: ribosomal RNA, 440 nt
Filed under: uncultured bacterium
Lineage: Bacteria
Description: partial 16S ribosomal RNA
Rfam family: Bacterial small subunit ribosomal RNA
Source: RNAcentral